GGUUCAGUGGCGUAACGGUAUCGCACUCCGCAUUCCUAUGUAGCUCACAGUAUGCUUUUACGGAGAGUUCGGAGUUUGAGUCUCUGCUGAGCCA
Mycena latifolia is the source of this 94-nucleotide non-coding RNA. NCBI's taxonomy places the organism in Eukaryota, Fungi, Basidiomycota, Agaricomycetes, Agaricales, Mycenaceae. The record is from the annotation of a GenBank genome assembly.